CCUUGUGCCAGCAGCCGCGGUAAAACCAGCUCUUCAAGUGGUCGGGAUAAUUAUUGGGCUUAAAGUGUCCGUAGCCGGUUUAGUAAGUUCCUGGUAAAACCGGGCAGCUUAACUGUCCGUAUGCUAGGAAUACUGCUAUGCUAGAGGGCGGGAGAGGUCUGAGGUACUACAGGGGUAGGGGUGAAAUCUUAUAAUCCUUGUAGGACCACCAGUGGCGAAAGCGUCAGACUGGAACGCGCCUGACGGUGAGGGACGAAAGCCAGGGGAGCGAACCGGAUUAGAUACCCGGGUAGUCCUGGCCGUAAACGAUGCAUACUAGGCAAUGGUGCGGCCAUGAGCCGCAUCAGUACCGUAGGGAAACCGUUAAGUGUGCCGCCUGGGAAGUACGGUCGCAAGGCUAAAACUUAAAGGAAUUGGCGGGGGAGCACCACAAGGGGUGAAGCCUGCGGUUCAAUUGGACUCAACGCCGGGAAACUUACCAGGGGAGACAGCAGAAUGACAGUCAGGUUGACGACCUUACUCGACGAGCUGAGAGGAGGUGCAUGGCCGUCGCCAGUUCGUGCUGUGAGGUAUCCUGUUAAGUCAGGCAACGAACGAGAUCCGCGCCUUUAUUUGCCAUCAAGAAGUCACGACUUCGUUGGGAACACUAAAGGGACCGCCGUCGAUAAGACGGAGGAAGGAGCGGGCAAAGGCAGGUCUGU
RNAcentral lists this ribosomal RNA (701 nucleotides) under uncultured crenarchaeote. RNAcentral describes it as "bacterial SSU rRNA". It matches the Rfam family "Archaeal small subunit ribosomal RNA", at positions 451 to 1150 of the family's 1478-position model. Lineage: Archaea; Thermoproteati; Thermoproteota. The record is from RNAcentral.